RNAcentral lists this ribosomal RNA (440 nucleotides) under uncultured bacterium. RNAcentral describes it as "bacterial SSU rRNA". It matches the Rfam family "Bacterial small subunit ribosomal RNA", at positions 958 to 1397 of the family's 1533-position model. The record is from RNAcentral.
AACGCGAAGAACCUUACCAGGGCUUGACAUCCCAUUGACCGGUAUAGAGAUAUACCUUUCCUUCGGGACAAUGGAGACAGGUGGUGCAUGGUUGUCGUCAGCUCGUGUCGUGAGAUGUUGGGUUCAGUCCCGCAACGAGCGCAACCCUUAUUUUUAGUUGCCAGCAAGUAAUGUUGGGCACUCUAGAGAGACAGCCGGUGAAAGCCGGAGGAAGGUGGGGAUGACGUCAAAUCAUCAUGCCCCUUAUGUCCUGGGCUACACACGUGCUACAAUGGCUAGAACAAAGGGAUGCAAUACCGCGAGGUGGAGCGAAAUCUCACAAAUCUAGUCUCAGUUCGGAUCGUAGGCUGCAACUCGCCUACGUGAAGUCGGAAUCGCUAGUAAUCGCGGAUCAGCAUGCCGCGGUGAAUACGUUCCCGGGCCUUGUACACACCGCGAGC